GCCAGGUGCAGUGGCGCAUGCCUGCAAUCUAAGGUACUUGGGAGGCUGAGGUAGGAGGAUUGUGAGUUUGAGACCAGCCUGGGCAACUUAGCCAGACCCUGUCUCAA
RNAcentral lists this small RNA (107 nucleotides) under Marmota monax (woodchuck). Lineage: Eukaryota; Metazoa; Chordata; Mammalia; Rodentia; Sciuridae. The record is from RNAcentral.